GAGUUCAAGAGUACGUGAAACUGCUCGGAGGCAAACGGGUGGGCCCUCGAAAUCCUCUUGCGGAGGGAUUCAGUCGGGAGCCGUCGGGGCGGAUCCGGUCGCGGACCCCACGCGGGGACGCGCCGGGGACGCCGUCUCGCCGGAGCCCGACGCACUUCCCCCCGCACCACGGACGCCGCAACCGAUCGGGUAGCAGCGAGAGUCGGCCUUGGGGCGGCUACUCCGUUUUGGCGGCGCGGGUCCCGGCCUCGGCCGGACCCGCCCGCUGGGAGACCGCGCGUGGCGCGACACCCGAUCGUGGUCGAAGUCCCCCCCAGGGGGGACCGCCGUCUCCUUCUCCAGGGACGUGGCACCGGGGCCAGUGUGCGCCGUCGCGGCCGUUACCACCCGAGCGGUGGCCGGUCCUUCGGAGGCCGCCGUUGGGUCCCGGCGCGCCACGGAGAGAGGUGUCCAGCGGUUGGCGGCGAGCAGGUCGGUCACCCACCCGACCCGUCUUGAAACACGGACCAAGGAGUCUAACAUGUGCGCGAGUCGCAGGGUCUUGGACAGGCCCUCGGGCGCAAUGAAAGUGGAGGUCCUCGGACCGAGUCGGGACUCCCCGGAGACGGGGAAGCACCGACGGCCCGUUCCUCGCGAUUCGUCGCCGGAGCGGAGUUCGAGCGCACACGUUGGGACCCGAAAGAUGGUGAACUAUGCCUGGGCAGAACGAAGCCAGAGGAAACUCUGGUGGAGGUUCGUAGCGGUUCUGACGUGCAAAUCGAUCGUCAGACCCGGG
Molecule: ribosomal RNA, 775 nt
Filed under: Chibchea cf. mapuche Mich17
Lineage: Eukaryota; Metazoa; Arthropoda; Arachnida; Araneae; Pholcidae
Description: partial 28S ribosomal RNA
Rfam family: Eukaryotic large subunit ribosomal RNA (bases 506-775)
Source: RNAcentral